Molecule: ribosomal RNA, 356 nt
Filed under: Ageneiosus inermis (manduba)
Lineage: Eukaryota; Metazoa; Chordata; Actinopteri; Siluriformes; Auchenipteridae
Description: partial 12S ribosomal RNA
Rfam family: Bacterial small subunit ribosomal RNA
Source: RNAcentral
UUACAUACAUAUCCGCAGGGUACUACGAGCGCAGCUCUAAACCCAAAGGACUUGGCGGUGUCUCAGACCCACCUAGAGGAGCCUGUUCUAGAACCGAUAACCCCCGUUAAACCUCACCACUUCUUGUUUUCCCCGCCUAUAUACCGCCGUCGUCAGCUUACCCUGUGAAGGCCCAACAGUAAGCAAAAUGGGCACACCCAAAAACGUCAGGUCGAGGUGUAGCGUACGAAGUGGGAAGAAAUGGGCUACAUUUUCUUUACAAAGAAUAUUACGAAUGGCCUAAUGAAACAUAGGCCUGAAGGUGGAUUUAUUAUUAAAAAGUAAACAGAGCGCACUUUUGAAUUAGGGCUCUGAGA